UUGAAUCUAUGCUAGUUCCCAACAGGAACAACAAGUUUCAGCAUGUAAGUUCACACUACAGUUUCUCUAUUUCAGUUCUCAUAAAUCCCUGUUUUAUAUCUUCUGUUUAGAUUAAUUUUUUAUUUGAUCAAACAUUUGAACAGACAGAAGCUAUGGUGGCUUGAAUGAAAAAUAUCCCCUUAGGCUCAUGUAUUUGAACACUUGGUCUCUAGCUGGUGGUGCUGUUUGGGGAGACUAAGGUAGAUAUUUGGGAGAUAGAGCUUUUUGGGGAGAAGCACGCACCCAUUUUCUCUGGUGUUCCCUUUGGCCUGGGAUGUCUUACGAUAUCUUGGGUCGUUUCAACAAUCCUAUCCUUCAAGGAUCAAUUCAGAUGUCAUACUUACAUUUGCCCCAUCCAAUAGACAACUACCUGUCUUAUCUCUUAAUGCAUAGAGCUCUUAUGACCCUAGUGUUUCCUUUCUUUUUUUCUUGUAUUCUAGCCAGUUGACUGUCUCUUCCAAUGACUGAAUUCCUUGAGUGACGCUUCUUCUAUUCUCCUGUUUGAAUGUGGGGAGAGUGUGAAUGUAGUCCUUUAUUACCACAAAUUACACAGUUCUAUUUCUUGCAUUUUUGGACAUCUCAGAGGUAAGCACCUCUGGAGUGCAAGAGAUGAGCCUAACCCUGAGAAAACCACCUUUAUGACCAUGGUAUCUCCCCUGCCAGGGAAGAAGUUCCUUCUGGCAGACACCAUUUCCUUUGCUUUCCUUGAAGAGAAUCAACUCACACAACCAAGGAAUGUCCAAAGCUUCCUGUAAUGUCUGUGUGUGAGUCUGCAGGACACCUGAAGAGUUUGCCAAUUUGGUUCCUCUUAUCAGCGACAAUCUGAUACAAGGAACUGAAGUAAUGACCCCUAUUAAAUUCUCAUCAAUAUUGUCCCGGCGGGCAUUCUGUUGUUUUUGCACAGCUGUUAAAGAAAACAAAUGUGUUGACCAAUGAUCUGCCAUUAGAGUAAGCAGUGGGUUAAGAAAAACCUGGAGGUCUGGAAUUCCAUAUUUGAAUUUACACCAGAUACAUUCUUAUCAUAAGUUUACUGGGAGAGCAUUUGCCUGUGUUCAGUCUCCAGCACAAAAUAAAGAAUAUAAAAACAGCAACCUGCUUUGAGAUGGAGAAUUAUGGACAGAAUGUUUAAUGGGAAAUAAAUUUGGUACAACCUCUGUGGAAGUUAAAGGAAGCAGAACUUUCAGUGAGCAAAUGCCAUCAUUACAAGUACAAGCUCUAUUUGCCAGGAGGGAUGUGAGUGAGUUUUCCUAUAGGGUUACUUGAACUAGAAUAAUGGGACUGAGUCCUUUGUACCCUGUCAUCCACAAGGUACAGACUAUAGACAGAGGGGUGAGGCUAUGACAGCUAACAAAGUGGCUGGCAUCUGCCAAAUUGAAACUCUAAAGGAGAUGCUAGCUAUACUCUAUUGCUGGUUGCCAAUAGCUGGGGAGUCUGUCCUUCUGCUCUGUGGGGGGGGCACUUAAAAAAUGCAGCAUACUUGUCUGUCUGUUACACUCUUUCUGCAGGCCAUUAGAUCUGACGACAUGGCGAAGGUUCUGAGUACAACUGUUCUUUUAAUCUACAAAACCUAUGCAAAGGUUGAAUUGAGCUUCAGGCACAUUGCCUGCCUUUUCUACUACGAGUGAGCACUGCUGCUUUGUGGGUUCUUACUGGUGGAGAUAAUGCAGAACCUCGCCUCUGUAUGUUUCUUUCAGGACAUGGUUGUUAGACAUCUCCAUUUCCCAAAACUCCCCCGUGAAUCACUGUGAGCCAAGUUUAGUUUUUAUGGCCCACUUGUAGCUGUUUUAUCUCUUUUUAAUUAUCAGGGUUAAUUACUCCUUCUCUGCUCCAGCUUUCUCUUCCUACCUUUUUUUAUGAUUUCUCCCCCACCACCCCACAAGGAACUAAUUGGAGCAACAGGAGCAAAAACCAUAACUUAAGCUUUAAUGUCUUUAAUAUGUGCCUGAUUAAAACAGCACCACUUCUGAGGAACAGACAUUCUAGAACUACAGAAACUAAAGUUACAUAGCCCGAUGACAGCCAUCCAGGGCCACUCUCACUUGGAGGACACCAUUCCAUCUUUGUAGCUUAUGA
This is a long non-coding RNA of Peromyscus leucopus (white-footed mouse), 2112 nucleotides long. RefSeq lists it as uncharacterized. The transcript has 5 exons. NCBI's taxonomy places the organism in Eukaryota, Metazoa, Chordata, Mammalia, Rodentia, Cricetidae. The record is from RefSeq and is a predicted model, not a curated record.